Molecule: ribosomal RNA, 699 nt
Filed under: Pleosporales sp. TU07
Lineage: Eukaryota; Fungi; Ascomycota; Dothideomycetes; Pleosporales
Description: eukaryotic LSU rRNA
Rfam family: Eukaryotic large subunit ribosomal RNA
Source: RNAcentral
CGGCGAGUGAAGCGGCAACAGCUCAAAUUUGAAAUCUGGCGUCUUCGGCGUCCGAGUUGUAAUUUGCAGAGGGCGCUUUGGCAUUGGCAGCGGUCCAAGUUCCUUGGAACAGGACGUCACAGAGGGUGAGAAUCCCGUACGUGGUCGCUAGCCUUUACCGUGUAAAGCCCCUUCGACGAGUCGAGUUGUUUGGGAAUGCAGCUCUAAAUGGGAGGUAAAUUUCUUCUAAAGCUAAAUACUGGCCAGAGACCGAUAGCGCACAAGUAGAGUGAUCGAAAGAUGAAAAGCACUUUGGAAAGAGAGUUAAAAAGCACGUGAAAUUGUUGAAAGGGAAGCGCUUGCAGCCAGACUUGCCUGUAGUUGCUCAUCCGGGUUUCUACCCGGUGCACUCUUCUAUAGGCAGGCCAGCAUCAGUUUGGGCGGUUGGAUAAAGGUCUCUGUCAUGUACCUCUCUUCGGGGAGAACUUAUAGGGGAGACGACAUGCAACCAGCCUGGACUGAGGUCCGCGCAUCUGCUAGGAUGCUGGCGUAAUGGCUGUAAGCGGCCCGUCUUGAAACACGGACCAAGGAGUCUAACAUCUAUGCGAGUGUUUGGGUGUCAAGCCCGAGCGCGUAAUGAAAGUGAACGGAGGUGGGAACCUUUCGGGGUGCACCAUCGACCGAUCCUGAUGUCUUCGGAUGGAUUUGAGUAAGAGCAUA